Molecule: ribosomal RNA, 200 nt
Filed under: uncultured bacterium
Lineage: Bacteria
Description: partial 16S ribosomal RNA
Rfam family: Bacterial small subunit ribosomal RNA
Source: RNAcentral
AACGGACGCUGGCGGCAGGCUUAACACAUGCAAGUCGAACGCUCCGCAAGGAGAGUGGCAGACGGGUGAGUAACGCGUGGGAAUCUACCUAGUUCUACGGAACAACAGAGGGAAACUUCUGCUAAUACCGUAUACGCCCUAAGGGGGAAAGAUUUAUCGGAAUUAGAUGAGCCCGCGUAAGAUUAGCUAGUUGGUGGGUA